This 440-nucleotide ribosomal RNA is filed under the name uncultured bacterium. RNAcentral's name for it is "partial 16S ribosomal RNA". It matches the Rfam family "Bacterial small subunit ribosomal RNA", at positions 338 to 795 of the family's 1533-position model. The record is from RNAcentral.
CCUACGGGAGACUGCAGUGGGGGAUAUUGCACAAUGGGGGAAACCCUGAUGCAGCAACGCCGCGUGAGUGAAGAAGUAUUUCGGUAUGUAAAGCUCUAUCAGCAGGGAAGAGAAUGACGGUACCUGACUCAGAAUCCCCGGCCAACUACGCGCCAGCAGCCGCGGUCAUACGUAGGGGGCGAGCGUUAUCCGGAUUUACUGGGUGUAACGGGAGCGUAGACGGCUGGUCAAGUCUGAAGUGAAAGCCCGGGGCUUAACCCCGGAACGGCUUUUGAAACUGAGAAGCUAGAGUGCUGGAGAGGUAAGCGGAAUUCCUAGUGUAGCGGUGAAAUGCGUAGAUAUUAGGAGGAACACCAGUGGCGAAGGCGGCUUACUGGACAGUAACUGACGUUGAGGCUCGAAAGCGUGGGGAGCAAACAGGAUUAGAUACCCCAGUAGUC